RNAcentral lists this ribosomal RNA (548 nucleotides) under uncultured bacterium. RNAcentral describes it as "bacterial SSU rRNA". It matches the Rfam family "Bacterial small subunit ribosomal RNA", at positions 356 to 896 of the family's 1533-position model. The record is from RNAcentral.
GGGGAAUUUUGGACAAUGGGCGCAAGCCUGAUCCAGCCAUGCCGCGUGUCUGAAGAAGGCCUUCGGGUUGUAAAGGACUUUUGUCAGGGAAGAAAAGGCCGUUGCUAAUAUCAGCGGCUGAUGACGGUACCUGAAGAAUAAGCACCGGCUAACUACGUGCCAGCAGCCGCGGUAAUACGUAGGGUGCGAGCGUUAAUCGGAAUUACUGGGCGUAAAGCGGGCGCAGACGGUUACUUAAGCAGGAUGUGAAAUCCCCGGGCUCAACCCGGGAACUGCGUUCUGAACUGGGUGACUCGAGUGUGUCAGAGGGAGGUAGAAUUCCACGUGUAGCAGUGAAAUGCGUAGAGAUGUGGAGGAAUACCGAUGGCGAAGGCAGCCUCCUGGGACAACACUGACGUUCAUGCCCGAAAGCGUGGGUAGCAAACAGGAUUAGAUACCCUGGUAGUCCACGCCCUAAACGAUGUCAAUUAGCUGUUGGGCAACCUGAUUGCUUGGUAGCGUAGCUAACGCGUGAAAUUGACCGCCUGGGGAGUACGGUCGCAAGAUUA